This 301-nucleotide ribosomal RNA is filed under the name uncultured bacterium. RNAcentral describes it as "partial 16S ribosomal RNA". It matches the Rfam family "Bacterial small subunit ribosomal RNA", at positions 509 to 808 of the family's 1533-position model. The record is from RNAcentral.
CAGUAGCGCGGGAAUACGGAGGAUCCGAGCGUUAUACGGAAUUAUUGGGUUUAAAGGGUGCGUAGGCGGAUAGAUAAGUCAGUGGUGAAAGACGGUGGCUCAACCAUCGCAGUGCCGUUGAUACUGUUUAUCUUGAAUAUGGAUGAGGUAGGCGGAAUGUGGCAAGUAGCGGUGAAAUGCAUAGAUAUGCCACAGAACACCGAUUGCGAAGGCAGCUUACCAAGGCAAAAUUGACGCUGAGGCACGAAAGCGUGGGGAUCGAACAGGAUUAGAUACCCCAGUAGUCCCUGUCUCUUAUACC